RNAcentral lists this ribosomal RNA (440 nucleotides) under uncultured bacterium. RNAcentral describes it as "bacterial SSU rRNA". It matches the Rfam family "Bacterial small subunit ribosomal RNA", at positions 28 to 507 of the family's 1533-position model. The record is from RNAcentral.
GAUGAACGCUGGCGGUAUGCCUAACACAUGCAAGUCGUACGAGAGUUUUUAACUCUAGUGGCGGACGGGUGGGUAACACGUGAGAAUUUGCCUUUAGGAGGGGGAUAACAAUUGGAAACGAAUGCUAAUACCCCAUAUGCUUUUGAGUGAAACGGAUUUAUCCGCCUAGAGAGAAGCUCGCGGCUGAUUAGCUUGUUGGUAAGGUAAGAGCUUACCAAGGCGACGAUCAGUAUCUGGUUUGAGAGGACGAUCAGACACACUGGAACUGAGACACGGUCCAGACUCCUACGGGAGGCAGCAGUGGGGAAUUUUCCGCAAUGGGCGAAAGCCUGACGGAGCAAUACCGCGUGAGGGAAGAAUGCCUAUGGGUUGUAAACCUCUUUUUUCAGGGAGGAACAAAAUGACGUGUACCUGAAGAAUAAGCAUCGGCUAACUCCGUG